RNAcentral lists this ribosomal RNA (50 nucleotides) under Neonectria sp. RNAcentral describes it as "partial 28S ribosomal RNA". The record is from RNAcentral. Lineage: Eukaryota; Fungi; Ascomycota; Sordariomycetes; Hypocreales; Nectriaceae.
GGUUGACCUCGAAUCAGGUAGGACUACCCGCUGAACUUAAGCAUAUCAAU